This is a long non-coding RNA of Bos taurus (domestic cattle), 2045 nucleotides long. The record is from Ensembl. Lineage: Eukaryota; Metazoa; Chordata; Mammalia; Artiodactyla; Bovidae.
GAGGAGUAGGGGUCCAUGAAUUUCUGCUUCUGAAAUGGGACAAGGUCUUAGGCCCCUCAAAAUGUCUUGGAUCCUGAGAGCUAUUUUCCUGUAAAGGCUUUGUGCGACCUGGGUGCUGGGUUUUUCUUAGCUUCCUAUGGACUUUGAUUACUGGGCUAAGAUUGCUAUUUUCCACAGAUAUUUUACAGUACCACCCUUCUGUUCCCUACUUCCCUUAUUUAUGAGACAGCCUUAACAGUUCUCUAUUUAUUACAGCUUUAAGCAUCUAACAUUGUCAUUGUCUCCUGGGUUGCUAUAGCAUAUUAUAUUUUUCAAAAUGUUUUAAUGUGCAUUAUCUAGUUUCAUAAGGAACUCUGGCUUCCCAGGUGGUACAGUGGUAAAGAAUCCACCUGCCAAUGCAGGAGACGCAAGAGACCUGGGUUUGAUCCCUGGGUCAGGAAGAUUCCCUGGAGAAGGAAAUGGCAACCCACUCCAGUAUUCUUGCCUGGAAAAUUCCAUGGACAGAGGAACCUGACGGGCUACAGUCCAUGGGGUUGCAAAGAGUUGGACUGAGCACAAACGCAUGAUCUAAUUUAAUAAUAAGGAUGCUGUUUAGGAGAUUAUGUGUUUCCAUGCCUGCUAAUCCAGGAAUUCAAGGCGGAAGGCAACACUGGCCAGCGCCCAGAUGCUGGUGCUGCUGGAGUCAGGAAAGGCAGAGCUGCUGGGAGAAGUGAGCGACUCCAGAAGGGCCAGAGUGUUCCCUUUGCAGCUGCUUUUGGACAUUUCACUACCACCACCACCUUGAGAAAGCUAUCAUGGAUGUUGCCUUGCUGGGCCUGCAUUGCUGGGUCUUCAGCCUAUUGCCCAGUUUCAUUUCUUUGUGCAUCUUUAUGGCUUUGGGGAAAGAACACAGGAUGAGAAGCCAGGUUCUCUCACUGGAGGCUUCCAAGCAGUUCAUUUCCUGUCAGGGGUAAACAUGCAGAUACGGGGUGAUCCCUGACUCUUCCAGCAUUAACAUCAUGAGAUACCUUGUAUCCCAUGGCAGUCAAUGAAUGUAGGCUUAUGGCUGUUGUUUUCACUUGAUGAUGGUACCAGUCCAUCUGCUUGGUACAGUGGCAGCAUUUAGGCAAAAGCAUUCAUCACAGAUGAGAUGUUUCUAGCCUUUAACUACCUCACAGCUUGGGCUCAGAAGAAUCCUAAGGUCUGUGAAUUUACCCUCGCACAGUGAGGGAGCUGGGAAGAGAUCACUUCUGAAUGAAGGCAGAGGAUCCUUUUCUGUCUGGAUUGCAAGAAUAAUGAAGACCGUCCAGGAAGGAAUAAAGUGGUUGAGGAAAGUGGACAUGCUGGAAGGGCUCUAUGUAAGCCAAAAGACCCAACUAGAGAAUGCAUCCCACGAGAGGAUAUACCAGUCCCCAAACCAUUGAAAUGCACUGAUGAGAGGGACACCAGCAUCACUAAGAAGUUGUGCAGGCUGGGGAUGAUGGAAGGAGAAAUGCUUACAAACUGAGCUUGUUAGCAUCUGCAGAAGUGAUAUAGGCCAGGAGGUGGCGCUUACCUGCCAGAAGCCAGGAGGCCAUAAUUACCUCACUCUUCAAAAGAUCCUCAACCAGCCCUUCUAUCUGGAGGCUUACCGAAUGUCUGAUCCACAGGAAUGGAAUCCCAUACAGCAGAGCAUCCAAGCAGGGGCUGUACUUCAGAUGCAGCUGGUGUGGAACCAGGGGCCCUCUGGCUGUGUCAUGUACUGCACCACCCAGAGAGAAAAGACACAGAUGAAGUAGUGGAAGAAUUGCUACCUGCUCCUGGGAUCAGGAAGGCCUCAGAUCCUCACACGCUCUGCGACUCCUGAGUUUUUCACUGAAUGCUAUUUUCCAUGUGCUUAUCAAAUGUGAGCGAGACCCCUUUGGAUGGAGAGUCUGAGCCUGCCCAAGCCAUGCCUACAUUCUCCAGCACUCUAAUGUACGUGUAUUUGGCAGAAGUCUUUGUUGCUCUAAGGCAGAGUAUUUUUACUAUCACACCACCUUGCUUAUAUAAGUACAAAACAAUAUAUAAUAAGAUCUAAUAUUUAC